This 321-nucleotide long non-coding RNA is filed under the name Cyanistes caeruleus (blue tit). Its description in RNAcentral is "lncRNA (ENSCCEG00000010117.1)". Lineage: Eukaryota; Metazoa; Chordata; Aves; Passeriformes; Paridae. The record is from RNAcentral.
GUUUCUUGCUUCUUGUUCAGGACAAACUUUUUUCUAUUGAUAUAAAUCCUGGAUAAUUACACUGAAUGUGGAUUAUUUCAGAUUUAUGAUUAGGCUGUACAGUUUCCUGAAGAAAAAACUGAACAAAUGGACUUAAGAAUUCCAACCAGCAGGAUUCACUACUGAAACAUUCAAAGGGAGUGCCAGAAGUUGAGCACACCAAGAAAAAGGACCAGUCAGCAGUUUCAAAAGAAGCAAUCUCAGAGCUCAAUUUUUUGUGUUCAAUUACUCCAGGAUAUGGUAAAUAUCAACAAAUAGGAAUAUUUAAAUAACUAGAUGGAA